Panicum hallii is the source of this 1131-nucleotide long non-coding RNA. RefSeq lists it as uncharacterized. NCBI's taxonomy places the organism in Eukaryota, Viridiplantae, Streptophyta, Magnoliopsida, Poales, Poaceae. The record is from RefSeq and is a predicted model, not a curated record. The transcript has 3 exons.
AAUGUAUGACUUCUUACCUCUUGGACUUUUCAAGGGCUUCAAGUCUAUUUGCCAAGCUUAAGGCAUCUGCUUUGACGUGCUGCAGUUCAGAUCAUUGAAGUGUACCAUCAGAUACAUCAUACAAGCUGUGAGGAGACAACAAAUUUAUUCUGCCAACAAGGAACAGUCACAGUUCAUCAAGCAUUUGCAGCCUUUUUUAUGAAACAAUUGCUUUUACAUGAGGUUGGACAGCUUAUGCAGCCUGCUUUGUCGGCUCCAUCAGAUUCCCACCAUGGAGGCGAAUCUGGAAGAGUUGGGCUCCAUUGGGUUGCAAAUUCUUCCUUGGCUAGCCAUCAAACAACCUAUUUGGACUGCUGAUCGCCUCGCCAAGCGGGCCUUGCACCUCACCAAGCUGCUUGCCCGCUUUGUGACAAGGAACAGGAGUGGAAGAUGUGCAUGUGUUGGCAGUUUUCUGCUACAGGUCAGUAUACUACUAAAUCAGCUACGAAGCUCUAUCCAUUGGAGCUACUGGUUUUGGCCCUUGGAAGCAGAUCUAGAAGAGCUGGGCACCAGGCACGUGCAAAUUCUUUUUAUGGACGGCUGCUCUAAACAGAAUUUAGACAGCAGAUCGCCUGGUCAGAAAAAGGUCUCUCCCAUCCGGCAGCCUGCUCUCUUUGUGAUCAAGUUGAGGAAACUGCUGACCACCUGCUGGUGGCGUGUGUUUUCUCCCGUCAGGUCUGGUUCGCUGUGUUGCAAAUGUUCAACCUGCAAACCCUGGCUCCACAAAACGAUCUUUCCUUCUUUGAGUGGUGGAUGGCUGCUAGUACCGGAGUGGAUGGCCUGGUUAAGAAAGGUUUGGACUCCAUCUUUAUCUUGGGAGCAUGGACCAUCUGGAAGCACCGCAACCGCUGCGUCUUCGAUGGGAUUUCACCCGAUGUUUCUUGUGUUGUUUCGGUCAUCAAGGAAGAGCUGCACCAGUGGUCCUUUGCUGGGGCUCGAGGAGUGUCACAUCUCCUCGCCAUAGGAUCUCAGCUCUUCUGCACUUUCGAGGGACAAAAAGAUAAGGAACAGGAAACAGCCUAGCGUCUCCUUCUCACCUGUGUGUUCACCAGGCAAUGCUGGUCGCUGAUCUCUCAAAGCCUAAACCUAGUC